UACGUAGGUGGCAGGCGUUGUCCGGAUUUAUUGGGUUUAAAGGGUGCGUAGGCGGCCUUGUAAGUCAGUGCUGAAAUAUCCCGGCUUAACCGGGAGGGUGGCAUUGAUACUGCAGGGCUUGAGUAAAGUUGAGGUUGGCGGAAUUGACGGUGUAGCGGUGAAAUGCUUAGAUAUCGUCAAGAACACCGAUAGUGAAGACAGCUAACUAAGCUUUAACUGACGCUGAGGCACGAAAGUGUGGGGAUCAAACAGG
RNAcentral lists this ribosomal RNA (253 nucleotides) under uncultured bacterium. RNAcentral describes it as "partial 16S ribosomal RNA". It matches the Rfam family "Bacterial small subunit ribosomal RNA", at positions 524 to 776 of the family's 1533-position model. The record is from RNAcentral.